Molecule: long non-coding RNA, 825 nt
Organism: Physeter macrocephalus (sperm whale)
Lineage: Eukaryota; Metazoa; Chordata; Mammalia; Artiodactyla; Physeteridae
Exons: 3
Source: RefSeq, a predicted model, not a curated record
CGGGGUGGGCUCCAGAGCAGAGGUGUCAGAUGUGCAUUGGAGUUUUCAGGUCUGGCUCCAUUUCGAGAGGUGCGGGUAAUCCACGUGGCAGCUUUUAUUUGUAGAGCGGAUCCUUCUACAAAUCUUAGUUAUAUGUAAAAUCAGCAUGCUGCUUUGGUAUUGUGUGAUCGUGUGUAUGCCAGACUGUGCCCUUGUUCCCCAAAAGCAGGAUGGCGUUCCAUUUUUAAACACUAAAUUUCCAAGGCUUUUUGGUCCAAACGUUGCAUGCGAACCGACUUAAGCUGUUUUCUCAAAUUCAGUUUUCUUUAGUGUUGAGAGUGAUGGUAGGGACUCUUCAGAAUAUAACCUCAUUCUCAUUAAUUCGGCUUGGGAAAACGCAUCCUUUAGGCUGACGUUGUAGACAGCACUGAUCUUUUGAGGUGAGAUUUAAGGACACAGUUUGGGAACAGAUCUUGGUUUUGCGUAUCUGGGGGGGAGGGGGAAUAUGUGGAGUGUUGUCACUAAGAGUUAAGUGUCCCAAAAUGGAUGGGGCUUUUAGGGUAUUCUUUUCUACUUCUAUUUCAGCAGUGUGGAAGCAGUGGCUAAGGACAUGUAGGGGAGGCCCAUCUGAGACAGAUUCAACCACCCUUCCUGUGCUCUCACUUGGCUGCCAGGAAGGGUCUUUCCGAGCCCUAAAAGCCUAGUCCAGCUUGUUGCCAAAGUGGAAGGGCCAUAAAAAGAAGACAGGUCACUCUACAAUCAGGACUCAUUACAUACCAUUAAGGUCCCGGUGGAAUUCCCUCGAUAACUCCGCCACUGCUUUCCAUCAAGGCUAUACAUGAUGAU